AUUGAACGCUGGCGGCAGGCCUAACACAUGCAAGUCGAGCGGAGCGGCGGACGGGUGAGUAAUGCCUAGGAAUCUGCCUGGUAGUGGGGGAUAACGUCCGGAAACGGGCGCUAAUACCGCAUACUAUCAGAUGAGCCUAGGUCGGAUUAGCUAGUUGGUGGGGUAAAGGCCUACCAAGGCGACGAUCCGUAGCUGGUCUGAGAGGAUGAUCAGCCACACUGGAACUGAGACACGGUCCAGACUCCUACGGGAGGCAGCAGUGGGGAAUAUUGGACAAUGGGCGCAAGCCUGAUCCAGCCAUGCCGCGUGUGUGAAGAAGGCCUUCGGGUUGUAAAGCACUUUCAGUGGGGAGGCGUUACCCGCAGAAGAAGCACCGGCUAACUUCGUGCCAGCAGCCGCGGUAAUUC
This 407-nucleotide ribosomal RNA is filed under the name uncultured bacterium. RNAcentral describes it as "partial 16S ribosomal RNA". It matches the Rfam family "Bacterial small subunit ribosomal RNA", at positions 30 to 526 of the family's 1533-position model. The record is from RNAcentral.